AACUCGGUAGUUUAGCGGUUAAAAGCAGUGGAGCGUAAACCUGGGUUCGAAUCCCAGUUGAGUUC
Henosepilachna vigintioctopunctata is the source of this 65-nucleotide non-coding RNA. The record is from the annotation of a GenBank genome assembly. NCBI's taxonomy places the organism in Eukaryota, Metazoa, Arthropoda, Insecta, Coleoptera, Coccinellidae.